This 241-nucleotide ribosomal RNA is filed under the name uncultured Eubacteriales bacterium. RNAcentral's name for it is "uncultured Clostridiales bacterium partial 16S ribosomal RNA". It matches the Rfam family "Bacterial small subunit ribosomal RNA", at positions 98 to 339 of the family's 1533-position model. The record is from RNAcentral. Lineage: Bacteria; Bacillati; Bacillota; Clostridia; Eubacteriales.
GCGGACGGGUGAGUAACGCGUGGGUAACCUGCCUCAUACAGGGGGAUAACAGUUGGAAACGGCUGCUAAUACCGCAUAAGCGCACAGCAUCGCAUGAUGCAGUGUGAAAAACUCCGGUGGUAUAAGAUGGACCCGCGUUGGAUUAGCUUGUUGGUGAGGUAACGGCCCACCAAGGCGACGAUCCAUAGCCGGCCUGAGAGGGUGAACGGCCACAUUGGGACUGAGACACGGCCCAGACUCC